This is a microRNA precursor of Oryza rufipogon (brownbeard rice), 201 nucleotides long. It matches the Rfam family "MIR812 microRNA precursor family". Lineage: Eukaryota; Viridiplantae; Streptophyta; Magnoliopsida; Poales; Poaceae. The record is from Rfam.
AAUAAGUGCAGCCAUGAGUUUCCGCGUCCAAUUUUAAUCGUCCAUCUUAUUUGAAAUUUUUUUAUAAUUAAUUUUUUUAUUGUUAUAAGAUGAUAAAACAUAAAUAAUACUUUUUACUCGUGACUUAUGUUUUUUUUUCAACUUUUUUUAAAUAAGACGAAUGAUUAAAGUUGGGCGCGGAAAACCAUGGCUGCACUUAUU